Molecule: transfer RNA, 98 nt
Filed under: Streptomyces tauricus
Lineage: Bacteria; Bacillati; Actinomycetota; Actinomycetes; Kitasatosporales; Streptomycetaceae
Description: tRNA-Val
Source: RNAcentral
UGGCCGCCGCAGCCGUGGUCGCUGCACUGCUGUCCACGGCGGCGUGCGGCGGCGGCAACGACGACGACGGGGGCGGUUCGAAGACCGGCGCGGCCGGC